CACCGGCGGCGCGAGUGGUGGCCACUUUUAUUGGGUCUAAAGCGGCCGUAGCCGGCUUGGCAAGUCCCCUGGGAAAUCUGGCGGCUUAACCGUCAGGCGUCCAGAGGAUACUGCCAGGCUUGGGACCGGGAGAGGUGAGAGGUACCUCAGGGGUAGGGGUGAAAUCUUGUGAUCCCUGAGGGACCACCAGUGGCGAAGGCGUCUCACUAGAACGGGUCCGACGGUCAGGGACGAAAGCUGGGGGCACGAACCGG
This 254-nucleotide ribosomal RNA is filed under the name uncultured microorganism. RNAcentral's name for it is "partial 16S ribosomal RNA". It matches the Rfam family "Archaeal small subunit ribosomal RNA", at positions 474 to 727 of the family's 1478-position model. The record is from RNAcentral.